This 492-nucleotide long non-coding RNA is filed under the name Numida meleagris (helmeted guineafowl). Its description in RNAcentral is "lncRNA (ENSNMEG00000000256.1)". Lineage: Eukaryota; Metazoa; Chordata; Aves; Galliformes; Numididae. The record is from RNAcentral.
GUAGCUGCAUCUCCAAGAAAUACUGAAGAUUUGUAUGGCAUAGGAAUCACUUCAUUAUGAGCAGAAGCAAGUCUUGAAUAUGAGUAAUGGAGUACAGAUAGGCAACAGGACCUUCAGAAAAAGUACACAAGAGCAGAAGCUUAGGCAAACACAUUUGUACAGUGAACAGAUUCAUGGCACCUACAAAAUGUCAGAAAAAGCGACUAACAAGAUGGUAAUGCAACACCUACAGACAGCCCAUCUGCUCACCUAGGUAUCCAGGCCAAAAAGAACUUGGGCAACAUCAAAAACAAGAAUUAAGUCUUCCCAUAAACUUGCCUGAUCAUGAAAACUGUGAUAAGAAAAUGAAGACAAAGUUGGGAUUUUCUGUUUUCUUUUUGUAUUUUCCCAUUGGGAAGCAAAGACAGAAAAUGACUGACACUGUUACAGGGAAUAACUCUUGAAAUACUGGAAUGGUAAUAAGUGCCUGAUGAGAAUAAAGACCUGAGGCAG